CAGUACAAUGGAGAUGCCCAGGGCUGUCGCUGACCUUUGUGGGUCGUGCACGCCCAAAGUGCUCUCUCUCACAUCCAUCUCACCCCUUUGUGCAUCACCGCGUGGGCCCCCUUUCGGCGCGACGGGGCCCCUCGCGGGGCCCCCUGCCGGAACCCAAACUCUGAACCAACUUGCAGCCUGAGUAGAAAAGCAAAUAGUCA
Molecule: unclassified non-coding RNA, 200 nt
Filed under: uncultured Russula
Lineage: Eukaryota; Fungi; Basidiomycota; Agaricomycetes; Russulales; Russulaceae
Description: sequence contains ITS1
Source: RNAcentral